CAUAUUUCUUCACUUAUCUGUCUCAAACUUGUAUCUCGCCUGUCUGGCUGCAGAAAUUCCAGGUUGUUGUUACUGAAAGUGUGAACCCUGCUGCUCUGGAGGCUGAUAUCGACCACGCGCUGGCUACAGAAAACUAGAUGGCACCUGCUGUUAUGUCACUGUUUAUAAAGGCUUCAUAUGGAACGUAGAGGAAGACUUUAAGAUGGUGCCAGAGACGUGGAUCCCAGCUCACAGAGUCCAACAUCAUGACGGCCACCCGGUGC
This is a long non-coding RNA of Monopterus albus (swamp eel), 263 nucleotides long. RefSeq lists it as uncharacterized. NCBI's taxonomy places the organism in Eukaryota, Metazoa, Chordata, Actinopteri, Synbranchiformes, Synbranchidae. The record is from RefSeq and is a predicted model, not a curated record. The transcript is spliced from 2 exons.